UACGUAGGGUGCGAGCGUUGUCCGGAUUUACUGGGCGUAAAGAGCGCGCAGGCGGUCGAAUCAGUCGAAUGUGAAAGCCCCCGGCUCAACUGGGGAGGGUCAUUCGAUACUGUCCGACUCGAAGGCAGGAGAGGGAAGCGGAAUUCCCGGUGUAGUGGUGAAAUGCGUAGAUAUCGGGAGGAACACCAGUGGCGAAGGCGGCUUUCUGGCCUGUUCUUGACGCUGAGGCGCGAAAGCUAGGGGAGCGAACGGG
Molecule: ribosomal RNA, 253 nt
Filed under: uncultured bacterium
Lineage: Bacteria
Description: partial 16S ribosomal RNA
Rfam family: Bacterial small subunit ribosomal RNA
Source: RNAcentral